GUUUGUUUAAGUUUGGAAUGCCAAUCAUACAAGCUUCAGCCCCUUUCAGAAAUCACCACAAAGAACCAUUUAUCACAGAUUGUUUUUCAGGUUCACAGGUUGUACCUUGGAUAACUGCAUGAGCUGAAAGAGUCAAUAAUAACUGUGUAAUUUUUGAGGGCCAAAUAACAAUUUUAGUCCUCUGUAGAUUUGCAGGAGUUUUUGGAGUUCACUGUUGAAGAUACUGUGUUGGAUUCAGCAGCUUCCACAGUGCCAAAACUGUAGAAAUAUAAAAUCUUAUAUUAAAAUAGGCAUGAACACAUAAGCUUCUUUACCUUAACAGGUGGCUAGCUGAGUAGAAAAAGAUCUGUGUUAUUGCAGGUUUGUUAGUUAGACAAAUUAGAUAUGAAUGGUGAAGUGACUGCUCCAUGGUCCCCGGUUUAUACUGAGCUCGGGUAACCCUCUGUGCCGAGUUUCUGUGCAUGUUAAAUCGUCUAAAUUGCCUCUAGGUGUUAAUGAAUACAUCAGUGUGUGUGCACAUGAUGCCCUGCGAUGGACUGGGUCCCAUUUGUGAUUCAUGUUCCCGGUUGAGGCUCCAGAUCCACCACAACUUUGACCACAACAAAGUGUUUACUGAAAGUGAGUGAUGGAUAAAGCUGCCAGCUUUUAUUCCAUAUAUUGUAUACCAGUCAGAAGUUUGGACACAUUAGAUUACAUUAUUAGAUUAGAAUAUUUUGUUCAUAGUUUUUAAAAACAUUCAGAGAAAGGCCUACAGUAUAUUGGACAUUUGUUUCUAUGUAAAUAUGGAAGUUAAUGCCCUUAAAAAAUCUAUAUGUAUUUAAAUUUUAAAAAAUUAUCACCUUACCCCAUUUUGAAAUCCUCUGUAGGGGACAGUCAUGAAUUUUUCUAUAGAGUUGAGCGGCAAAUGUGCCAUAUUUAUUGGUAAUAAUGCAGACAUACAUUCCAUUUAGGUCUGAGGUUGACGUCAUGAAAUGCAGUCUGUUUCCUUCUGCUUUAGUUCCUUCAGGAAGAGAGAGCAAAUCCUGUCUGGUUAGAUAAACAAAAGAACAAAGGUUCAUCAAAAGGGGUCUGUAAAGUUCAAUUCAAUUGCAUGUAACUUUGUCCUUAUAGUCAGUACAGUAUUAAAAAGCAUACCUCACAGAUACAACAUAUAUAUUUUCUGUGAUUUGAAGCCUCAACCACCAUAUAUUUAUGAUUCCAGAUUUAAGUCCAGAUUUAUAACUUGUAAAUCCAUAUUCAGCAAUGUUUCAGCAGAUGUUUGUGUUUAUUUUGUUCACUUCUAUCAGUUCCUCUUUGUCACUAUAUUCUGUUAAGGAACCAACAGAGAUAGAUGGAUGGAAAAAUUUGUCCAAUUUUGUUACUGAACUCACAGCAUAGUGAAGCAUGUUAGAAUAGCAAAAAGGUAUAAAUAGCAUAUACAUGCUUAAUUUCACCACUUUUCAUUUCAUAGCAUGAUUAAAUGUAACUCCUAGUAAGAUUUCAGAUUAGUAGCUCCAUUGAAACAAAUCAAUUUUAAUAGACAUAUAGUGCAUGUGAGAGACGAGCACCCUCAUCUUCUAUCCUGCUUUCUUCUAUCCUGUAUUAAUCCUUCUGAAAUAAAACCUUUCACCUGAGAGGACGAGUCAACUGGUGUUUGUCUAAGUUUCGACCACAAUUUGGCAUCCCUGGCUGGGCUGGGCGAGUCCUUCAGCUUUUCUGGACAACAAGCAAACCGGAGGACGCUCGUGAAAAAAAGGUUCACCCUGAAAUCCGUAUUGACUCGCAGGCGGUUUGCCUUUUAUUGUGCAGAGAGAAAGACCGAUGCAGCCUUACCACUGACUGGUAGGAAUCAUCAAGAAACAGCCUUAAGGUAAAUUAGAAGUUUAUAAAGUCAUAGUGUAUUGCUGUCUGUGUGGAAGGUAGUCAAUGAUAUAAGAAAUGCAUGUAUUACACUGAGAGAAGUAUUACAUGGAGCGAUUUCUUAUAAGAAGUUCCAGGAACUCUGCUUCUGCGACGGCAGAGAUAUUGGUGUUUCUUAGAUCACAGCUUCAAAACUAAGAUAUAUACCGAUGGGUAUAUAUAUAGAGAGAUAACGAUAAAAAUAUUUGCUAGUGGAAAGAGUUUGGAGCAAUCAAUAAGUAAAGCGAGUAGUUAUUAGAAGUGCAAGAGGUGCAGUAUUUUUGUGACGGGUUAUUGUCAGAGAAGUGGCAUGUCCCAUUGCCUCAUUCCAUCAUAUCAGCAGUACAUGAUGUUAAGGAUUCAGCCACAUAUUUAUAUAUACCUGAUUACUGGGAAUUUCAUUCUCUUGUAUAAUUUGGGUUUAAUCAAAGGUUGUUAUAUACUACAGAUAGCCCUCGCGUGCCUGAGUUAUUAUCCUUUUACAACCCGAGAGAUAAGAUAAGCAAUUCUGGGUGGGGAGAAAAUUAACAUCUGUGGUCUAAAGUUUUAUUUUAAUGGUCAUCAUUCUGUUAAUCAUUCUGGGAAAUUGAACAUUUUGAAUAUAAACGGGAAAGAGUGCAUGUGAGCAUGUAUUAUUUUAAUUACAACAGUACGUUGAACUGAUUAAGUUAUUUUGAAGGUCAUUGUGAAAGUUGAAUAAUGGGUAAAGCAAGUAGCAAAGAGCAGUCUGUGGUGCACGCUGUGGUGCACACAGGUUGUUCAUAUGUUGGUCCUUUUAUCAUGUUUAUGCAUGUAAAUUUUUGAGAGGGAUGCUCGAAUCAAUAUGAUGUGUGGGUAGAGAAUGUGCACUUCCAGAAAAAGGUAGGUUUAGUCUUAGGCAGUUAGAACAGAUAAAACUCAACUCAGAAACAAAAGGAGAGAGAUAUUUCGAAAAGUAAAAAAGAAGCAUCGUUUUUAGCAGACUGGAAGGCAUUUGGUGAAUGUCAGCGUGAGGUACAUAAAAGAGAGAAAAAAAGUGACAGGCAGGGCCCUCACCGGUUUCUCAGUGUGGUGUUACAGAAAGCUGAUCCUGACCUGGACUCUGCCCCUACACGGCAAACACAACCCGCAGCAGAAGCGAGUCCCUGAGCACCAUCAUUAGGUCCACGUUUCAAUCCAGCCCUCACUGCGCUGGAAGCUCCACCUGAUUACUCAGAAAUUUUAACGCAGGCCUUCUCACCACUGGGCAUAAGAUCAGGACUCAAGCUCAGGGGGACAAAACAACUGUCUGAAGUACAUGCCCACACCUCCAGAUGCAAGCCAGAUGCACAGGGAUCUGUACAUGAAGUAAUGACAGUGCCUAUGGUGGAAGUGGCAGGGCCUGAUGGGGCAAUGCUCGUCCACCUGCCCUAGACAAUGGCAGACUGGAUGCAACAUGCCAAUGCAGCCUACACAAGAGCGAUUGCAGUUCUCUAAUAAAUGACUAAUUGACGCCUUUCCUGUGCGAAUGGACAUGAAAAUAAUAGGAAUUUGCAAGCAGCAAGAUUCAGAGACUGUGUCCCAGUAUCUAUCUCGUCUCACUGAAGUCCGUGAUGCAAAUUCUGACUUGGAAAGGCCAGCAGCACUGGCAGAUGGACAAGCAGCCGAAGUCGCGGCAUGGGAAGCACAUCUCAGAAACAGUUUCAUGAAUGGUAUGAAACCAGAGAUCGCUGCUCUCAUAAAACUUCAACGCAUCACUUGGGAUCUGGAAAUCUGACUCAGGUAGAAUGAUAUGCAAUCCACGUGGAGAAGCUCCAUAGAUACAACUUCGCACGUUUUUUCUGUGGAAAAGUUGGACAUUUUGCAAGAGUCUGUCCAGAGCAAGACCAAGAGGAGGCCAACUGAGGGGAGGAGGAAAGGAAAGGUCGUCAUACAUCUCACAGACACAUGGAGACCUCCUGCAUUAGGCCACAUAAUGUCCAAGCGCAUGCUGAGUUAAGCCUCCUCUGAAAGCAAGAACUGCCCUUGAAGUAAAUCUCUCUCCUUGGAGCAUCAGAUUGGAGGGAAAUUCACACAAAGGAAAUUCUGCAGAGGUGCUUCCCAGGUCAGUGUCAAUCCACAGAAGUUCUCCCAGUAUGUAACUGAGAGAAACUUUCCCUGUACAGAGCGCUUUUCCUGAGGUAAAGUCUGUCUUGAAUGCAGAGGGUCACUGUGACUUUGGAUUUGCCUGAGGCAGGGGGACUCUAAGGUUAAAGCCUUCUUCCACCACGGUCUGAAGAUGAGUCAUUUCAAAAGCCUGCAGUACAGCAACAGAAGUAGAAACAAAUGGAAUUUCCAUUGUGACGUGUGUGCUAAGACUGCAAUACUGUGUGGAGCACUGUUGUGUGAAGGAAACACACUAGCUGGAGGAGGUUGUUGGAGUCCUCACCGCAAACAAUAUUUCCAAAAGUGACACUAUCACAGAAAGCGCAAUGUAAGCAUUGACAAAAAGCAUCAAAUGCACAUGUGUUCAGCACAGAGAUUCUUAAUUUUAACAGGCUGUUGAUUAUUUCCAUUUUUAAACAGUUCCACUUUUACUCUUUUCUCUUUUCCCACUCACGGAUGGAUCUGCAUUGGAACCGCUAGGCCUCUCCAGUUUUCAAUAGCAUCUUCAUCUGUUGGAUGGAUGUUUGUGACGGUAUCAGACUUCCCAAAACAGGAAGCAUCCAUUUCUGGUUUUCAAUCUACACUGCAAGUUGUGCUGUGUAGUGGAUUGGCUCCUGUGAUGAUCACUGUUGCAACAGCUGCAUCUUCUUCAUCUUCUUCACCUUUUUGUUUUGCAGAACAAAUUUGCAUAUUGGCCUCAAUGAAGGACAGAUGUCGAGCAAUGAACUGAUCCACCCGAAUAGGCAAGUUUUCAUACUUGAAAAGCCUGCGUUUCAUGUUUUUGAACUUUUGCUUCAGCAUUGGCUGAACUUGCGGUGAUGUCGGUGCUUCGGAAGUGAGGGAUCAUUACCACUGUCCAGAGUGGUAAGUAACUUGCAAGCCAUAUUAUCAUGAUCACCAUUAGCCACGGCAAGUGACCUGAUCUCCUCACAUAGCUCUGUCACGCACUGCCGUAUGUGUUCAGUUACAUGGAUCCACUUCUUCCAGGUCCUCACCCUCCACAUCUGGAAUGAUCUGUCACAUUUUAUGUGAAUGUGGCCAUGAAACUCCUUACAGUUGCCUCUGAUUUAUAUGAAUUUCUCUGUGGCUGUUGUACAGACCUUGGCUCUUUUAAAAAGACAAAUGUGCAGGGGCAUUUCACUGUUUCAGGCAUAAAUUCAAUCCAUUUCUGAAAUGAAUGUCAAGAUCAAAAUCCAGCAAUCUUUUGGUCUUGAGGAAAGGGACCCUGGCUCAAAAUCAGUGUCAUCACUUCUGCCAAUUGUUUCAUCAUCACUUUCAUAAAUAAACCCUAAAGCAGUCCAGAUGUUGUGUCUGUUCAAUUUAACAAAAGUAUAUAGAGCCUUUGCAGUCAUCUUGUUUUCUAGCUGCUCACUAAGCUGUGUCCAGAUGCUCUGUUUAGGAGUAGCUAUGUUGCCAUUUUGGACUAUGGCCUCUUUUGAUGAACAGAGGACUGUGAAAAUGUAAUCCCUGUAGACCGCUGGUUUCUUGGGCAUCUGGCAUAAGCAAAACAUAAUUACCCACUGAAAUAAUCCUGACUCAAAAAAUGUCAUGUACAGUAUAAACUUGCUUUCAUGUAUUACUGUAUUUGCCAGAAUACAAGGAUAAUAUAAUAUGGUAAUAAUGUAUAAGCAUUAGGGAUGUCAAGAUACCAAAAAUCUAGUAGUCGGUACCUAUACCAUCAAAAGU
Molecule: long non-coding RNA, 5667 nt
Organism: Ictalurus punctatus (channel catfish)
Lineage: Eukaryota; Metazoa; Chordata; Actinopteri; Siluriformes; Ictaluridae
Source: Ensembl